RNA transcript from Aegilops tauschii subsp. strangulata, 1363 nucleotides. RefSeq lists it as uncharacterized. NCBI's taxonomy places the organism in Eukaryota, Viridiplantae, Streptophyta, Magnoliopsida, Poales, Poaceae. The record is from RefSeq and is a predicted model, not a curated record.
AUAUCCUAUUUGCCGGAAAGACCAAAAAAGCAUCUUGGUCAUUAUCCUCGCGCCGCGCGGGGUGGCUUCCCUUCCCUUCCGAUGGACUCGCCGUCGGCUCCGCCCGCCCUCCUCCUCAGCUUCCGCGCGCUGCCCUACGGCAGCAGCAGCAGAAGAUCCCUCUGCCUCCGCUCGAAGAAGAGGCUGCAGCGAUUGCCUUCACCAGGAACCGGUCGCCGUCACGUGGCGGCGGCGGCGGUGGACAAGCUCGCGCCCCGGCCGCCGGAGGCUGGCCGUCUGAGGUGGAAGUACCGGCUAGCGUGCCGCGGGUCCUACGAUUCAGGAGACGGGCUUCCCGGGCCUCCUCCUCCGCCUCCUUCCGGUGAGAGCGUGGAUGUGUGGCGUCCUGCCCUUAGCAGAUGGGAUGUCCCAUGGCAGUGGCCAACCGUGUCCCUCACCAUGGUGGCCUGUGCACUAAGCGCUCUUUUGGCAGGAAAGGUUGAGCAGUCAGUUUUGGACUAUCUAGGCUAUCAAGCCGGAGAGGCAACUAUUGAUGAGAAGGCCGGGGUACUCUUUUUGGAACAAUUUAGUGUGACAGCAGUUGCCAUUGGAGUUAUUUUUGGCAUCACCAAUACCUUCCGACCAUUCUCGGAUGACAUAUUUCGUUAUGAUUUUAAGGAACCAUUUAAGCUGCAAAACGGCUGGCUCCUGUGGGCUGGAAUUGGCCUCUUUUUUGCUCUAGUUUCCAUUUCUUUAACUGGAGCAGUGAUGACCUUUCUGAAUGGUGAAACCACACAGAGAGAGACUGACUCGCUAGGUCUUCUAUUGCCACUGAUAGGCUCGUCGAAUAUCAGCACUGCCUGUCUGCUGGGCAUCACUGGGGUUCUUGCACCAAUUUUGGAGGAAACUGUAUUUAGAGGAUUUCUAAUGGUAUCCUUGACUAUGUGGUUUUCUACGCCAGUAUCUGUUCUGAUCACAGCUGUGGUGUUUGCCUUUGCUCAUCUUACACCAGGAGAGAUUCCCCAACUUUUUGUGCUUGGUGUGGCACUGGGAUUCUCAUAUUCUCAAACUCGGAAUCUUCUUACUCCUAUCACACAAUUCAUGCUGCUUGGAAUUCCGGAGUAAUAUUGUUACUAACCUUUCUUCAGCUGCAGGGAUAUGAUAUCAAGGAGCUGCUGCAGGCAUCUUGAAGGUUUCAUUUGGUCACCAUAGUUUUAUCUUGCACCGAUUUUGUACGUUACUGUAAAAUACAUGAACUCUUUGAAGUAUCCCCUGCUAACAAUUCAUAGUUGACGUGUCAUCUGAUCUGGUAAUUUCCUUUUGUUUUUCAAACUGCGGUUUGAUAUUUGAUCUCUUAUGAUGUCAAAGUUAAAUUCCAAUGUGA